Molecule: ribosomal RNA, 265 nt
Filed under: uncultured archaeon
Lineage: Archaea
Description: partial 16S ribosomal RNA
Rfam family: Archaeal small subunit ribosomal RNA
Source: RNAcentral
ACAGUCACACAUUAGAUACCCGCGUAGUCCUAGCCGUAAACGAUACUCGCUAGGUGUCGGCCACGGUGCGACCGUUGUCGGUGCCGUAGGGAAGCCGUGAAGCGAGCCACCUGGGAAGUACGGCCGCAAGGCUGAAACUUAAAGGAAUUGGCGGGGGAGCACAACAACGGGUGGAGCUUGCGGUUUAAUUGGAUUCAACGCCGGAAAUCUUACCGGGACCGACAGCAACAUGAAGGCCAAGCUGAAGACUUUGCCGGAUUAGCUG